Molecule: ribosomal RNA, 366 nt
Filed under: uncultured bacterium
Lineage: Bacteria
Description: partial 16S ribosomal RNA
Rfam family: Bacterial small subunit ribosomal RNA
Source: RNAcentral
CCUACGGGUGGCAGCAGUGAGGAAUAUUGGUCAAUGGACGAGAGUCUGAACCAGCCAAGUAGCGUGAAGGAUGACUGCCCUAUGGGUUGUAAACUUCUUUUAUAUGGGAAUAAAAUGUUACACGUGUGGGAUGUUGUAUGUACCAUAUGAAUAAGGAUCGGCUAACUCCGUGCCAGCAGCCGCGGUAAUACGGAGGAUCCGAGCGUUAUCCGGAUUGAUGGGGUUUAAAGGGAGCGUAGGUGGAUUGGUAAGUCAGUUGUGAAAGUUUGCGGCUCAACCGUAAAAUUGCAGUUGAAACUGGCAGUCUUGAGUACAGUAGUGGUGGGCGGAAUUCGUGUUGUAGCGGUUCACUGCUUAGAUCUCCCG